GAGUUUGAUCUUGGCUCAGGAUGAACGCUAGCGGCAGGCUUAAUACAUGCAAGUCGUGGGGCAGCAUGAGUGUAGCAAUACAUUUGAUGGCGACCGGCAAACGGGUGCGGAACACGUACACAACCUUCCUUUAAGUGGGGGAUAGCCCAGGGAAACUUGGAUUAAUACCCCGUAAUAUAUAGAAGCGGCAUCGCUUUUAUAUUAUAGCAGCAAUGCGCUUGAAGAUGGGUGUGCGGCUGAUUAGAUAGUUGGCGGGGUAACGGCCCACCAAGUCGACGAUCAGUAACUGGUGUGAGAGCACGACCAGUCACACGGGCACUGAGACACGGGCCCGACUCCUACGGGAGGCAGCAGUAAGGAAUAUUGGUCAAUGGACGAAAGUCUGAACCAGCCAUGCCGCGUGGAGGAUGAAGGUCCUCUGGAUUGUAAACUUCUUUUAUAU
Molecule: ribosomal RNA, 442 nt
Filed under: uncultured Sphingobacterium sp.
Lineage: Bacteria; Pseudomonadati; Bacteroidota; Sphingobacteriia; Sphingobacteriales; Sphingobacteriaceae
Description: bacterial SSU rRNA
Rfam family: Bacterial small subunit ribosomal RNA
Source: RNAcentral